Molecule: ribosomal RNA, 429 nt
Filed under: Chloroflexota bacterium
Lineage: Bacteria; Bacillati; Chloroflexota
Description: Chloroflexi bacterium partial 16S ribosomal RNA
Rfam family: Bacterial small subunit ribosomal RNA
Source: RNAcentral
UGGGGAAUAUUGCACAAUGGGCGCAAGCCUGAUGCAGCCAUGCCGCGUGUAUGAAGAAGGCCUUCGGGUUGUAAAGUACUUUCAGCGGGGAGGAAGGGAGUAAAGUUAAUACCUUUGCUCAUUGACGUUACCCGCAGAAGAAGCACCGGCUAACUCCGUGCCAGCAGCCGCGGUAAUACGGAGGGUGCAAGCGUUAAUCGGAAUUACUGGGCGUAAAGCGCACGCAGGCGGUUUGUUAAGUCAGAUGUGAAAUCCCCGGGCUCAACCUGGGAACUGCAUCUGAUACUGGCACGCUUGAGUCUCGUAGAGGGGGGUAGAAUUCCAGGUGUAGCGGUGACAUGCGUAGAGAUCUGGAGGAAUACCGGUGGCGAAGGCGGCCCCCUGGACGAAGACUGACGCUCAGGUGCGAAAGCGUGGGGAGCAAACAGG